AAGAUCAAGCAAUUCAAACUAGCACACUGAUUAGUGCUCUGUCCUGUGCACUGAGGUUUGAGGAGGUCGUACUCAGAGCCCCUGCAUAUUCUGUGUUGUCACAGUGACAGAAGAGCUGUACAUUCCCCAGGGAGCUGUGGCAUCUUGUAUCCAUGGAAGAGGAGGUAAGGCUGGAAAGCAAAGGCAGGAUUUUGCUUUCCUUUUGGCAAAGGCUGGCUAGAGCAAGGCAAGCUUGGUUGUAGCUCUGAUUUAAGUAACACUGGGGUGAUAAAGCUGGACAGUGUCUGAAUUACCUCUGCUGAAACCCAAGGAGUUAUUCUGUAGCUGAUGGCUACUGCCAGGAUUAAUUAGGUUUGGGGAAGAUUUUAGCUUGUUUUGACCAAGUGUCUAAUGGAACAUGAAGCAAGGAAACAGAUUGUGUCUGUGGCAAAGAACAGUGGGGAAUGGGGAGGAGAAGCACCGAGAGGAGGUUUUGCAGGAGUCACAAAAUGAGUAGAAUAAACAGAUUUCAGACCUGUCCAGUGUACCUGGCCUUGUGUUCAGCCCCUUAGAUGGUCAGCGGUGCCAUCUUGUGUUAAGUGGGUGGUAUUUUUGGGAAAAGAUGGAUACAGAUUCCUACCAGCCCUUGGGAAAGGGUUCUAGAAGAGCUCUUGAAAACUCCUGGUGUGAAAUGAGAAGAACAGUGAAGCCCAGAAGUCAAUGAGACAGAAAGGCAGA
Long non-coding RNA from Pseudopipra pipra, 717 nucleotides. RefSeq lists it as uncharacterized. The record is from RefSeq and is a predicted model, not a curated record. The transcript has 3 exons. Lineage: Eukaryota; Metazoa; Chordata; Aves; Passeriformes; Pipridae.